This 462-nucleotide ribosomal RNA is filed under the name Paenibacillus alvei. RNAcentral describes it as "bacterial SSU rRNA". It matches the Rfam family "Bacterial small subunit ribosomal RNA", at positions 72 to 517 of the family's 1533-position model. Lineage: Bacteria; Bacillati; Bacillota; Bacilli; Caryophanales; Paenibacillaceae. The record is from RNAcentral.
AGGAGUGCUUGCACUCCUGAUGGUUAGCGGCGGACGGGUGAGUAACACGUAGGUAACCUGCCCAUAAGACUGGGAUAACCCACGGAAACGUGAGCUAAUACCAGAUAGGCAUUUUCCUCGCAUGAGGGAGAUGAGAAAGGCGGAGCAAUCUGCCACUUAUGGAUGGACCUGCGGCGCAUUAGCUAGUUGGUAAGGUAACGGCUUACCAAGGCGACGAUGCGUAGCCGACCUGAGAGGGUGAUCGGCCACACUGGGACUGAGACACGGCCCAGACUCCUACGGGAGGCAGCAGUAGGGAAUCUUCCGCAAUGGACGAAAGUCUGACGGAGCAACGCCGCGUGAGUGAUGAAGGUUUUCGGAUCGUAAAGCUCUGUUGCCAGGGAAGAACGCCUAGGAGAGUAACUGCUCCUAGGGUGACGGUACCUGAGAAGAAAGCCCCGGCUAACUACGUGCCAGCAGCGG